RNAcentral lists this ribosomal RNA (253 nucleotides) under uncultured bacterium. RNAcentral's name for it is "partial 16S ribosomal RNA". It matches the Rfam family "Bacterial small subunit ribosomal RNA", at positions 524 to 776 of the family's 1533-position model. The record is from RNAcentral.
UACGUAGGGACCAAGCGUUGUUCGGAUUUACUGGGCGUAAAGGGCGCGUAGGCGGCAUAUUAAGUCAGCUGUGAAAUCUCCGAGCUUAACUCGGAACUGUCAGCUGAUACUGAUGUGCUAGAGUGCAGAAGGGGCAAUCGGAAUUCUUGGUGUAGCGGUGAAAUGCGUAGAUAUCUGGAGGAACACCGGUGGCGAAGGCGGCAUCCUGGACCGAUACUGACGCUGAGGAGCGAAAGCCAGGGGAGCAAACGGG